UCUACGGGAGGCAGCAGUGGGGAAUAUUGGGCAAUGGGCGCAAGCCUGACCCAGCAAUGCCGCGUGAAGGAAGAAGGCUUUCGGGUUGUACACUUCUGUGACAGGGGAAGAGCAGAAGACGGUAACCUGAAAACAAGCCACGGCUAACUACGUGCCAGCAGGCGCGGUAAUACGUAGGUGGCAAGCGUUGGCCGGGUUGAAUGGGUGUAAAGGGCGUGUAGCCGGGAAGGCAAGUACGAUGUGAAAUCUGGAGGCUCAACCUCCGAAUUGCAUUUGAAACUGUUUUUCUUGAGUACUGGAGAGGCAGACGGAAUUCCUGGUGUAGCGGUGAAAUGCGUAGAUAUAAGGAGGAACACCAGUGGCGAAGGCGGUCUGCUGGACAGCAACUGACGGUGAGGCGCGAAAGCGUGGGGAGCAAACAGGAUUAGAUACCCUAGUAGUC
This 442-nucleotide ribosomal RNA is filed under the name uncultured bacterium. RNAcentral describes it as "partial 16S ribosomal RNA". It matches the Rfam family "Bacterial small subunit ribosomal RNA", at positions 338 to 795 of the family's 1533-position model. The record is from RNAcentral.